CGCCUUUGGUAAAAUAUCAAAAGGUCCUGCCUGCCCGGUGAUUAUAAAAAUUAAACGGCUGCGGUACUCUGACCGUGCAAAGGUAGCAUAAUCAUUAGCCUGUUAAUUUCAGGCUGGAAUCAAUGGCAAGACGAAGAAAAAGCUGUCUCUUUCUAUUAUUUUAGAAUUUUUCUUUUUGGUGAAGAGACCAAAAUAAAUAAGUGGGACGAGAAGACCCUAUUGAGCUUUAGUUAGUUAAAAGAAAAAAGUUUUUUUAAAUAACUUUGGUUGGGGCAACUGUUUUUAGAAUUAAACAUUAAUAAAAUAAAAAUGAAUUAAAUCUUUAAUAUAUAAAACCCAGAAAUUUUUAUUCUGCACUUAAAAAAAGUUACCUUAGGGAUAACAGCGUAAUUCUUUUUGAGAGUACAUAUUGACAAAAGAGUUUGCGACCUCGAUGUUGGAUCAAGAUUUCCUGGAGGUGUAGUGGUUUCCAAGGGUUGGUUUGUUCAACCAUGAAAAUCUU
Molecule: ribosomal RNA, 502 nt
Filed under: Gorgonocephalus tuberosus
Lineage: Eukaryota; Metazoa; Echinodermata; Ophiuroidea; Euryalida; Gorgonocephalidae
Description: partial 16S ribosomal RNA
Rfam family: Bacterial large subunit ribosomal RNA
Source: RNAcentral